RNAcentral lists this ribosomal RNA (1058 nucleotides) under Capsicum annuum. Its description in RNAcentral is "SSU rRNA". It matches the Rfam family "Eukaryotic small subunit ribosomal RNA", at positions 747 to 1823 of the family's 1831-position model. Lineage: Eukaryota; Viridiplantae; Streptophyta; Magnoliopsida; Solanales; Solanaceae. The record is from RNAcentral.
CGCUGUUACUUUAAAGAAAUUAGAGUGCUCAAAGCAAUCCUACGCUCUGUAUAUAUUAGCAUGGGAUAACAUUAUAGGAUUUCGGUCCUAUUACGUUGGCCUUCGGGGUCAGAGUAAUAAUUAACAGGGACAGUUGGGGGCAUUCGUAUUUCAUAAUCAGAGGUGAAAUUCUUGGAUUAAUGAAAGAUGAACAACUGCGAAAGCAUUUGCCAAAGAUGUUUUCAUUAAUCAAGAAUUAAGGUUGAGGGCUCGUAGACGAUCAGAUACCGUCCUAGUCUCAACCAUAAACGAUGCCGACCAUGGAUCGGCGGAUGUUGCUUUUAGGACUCCGCCGGCACCUUAUGAGAAAUCAAAGUUUUUGGGUUCCGGGGGGAGUAUGGUCGCAAGGCUGAAACUUAAAGGAAUUGACGGAAGGGCACCACCAGGAGUGGAGCCUGCGGCUUAAUUUGACAUAACACGGGGAAACUUACCAGGUCCAGACAUAGUAAGGAUUGAUAGACUGAGAGAUCUUUCUUGAUUAUAUGGGUGGUGGUACAUGGCCAUUCUUAGUUGGUGGAGCGAUUUGUAGGGUUAAUUCCGUUAACGAAAGAGACCUCAGCCUGCUAACUAGCUAUGCGGAGGUAUCCCUUCGCGGUCAGCUUUUUAGAGGGACUACAGCCUUUUAACCCGCGGAAGUUUAAGGCAAUAACAGGUCUGUGAUGCCCUUAGAUGUUCUGGGUCGUACGCGCGCUACACUGAUGUAUUCAACGAGUUUAUAGCCUUGGCUGAUAGGCCCGGGUAAUCUUUGAAAUUUCAUCGUGAUAGGGAUAGAUCAUUGCAAUUGUUGAUCUUCAAAGAGGAAUUCCUAGUAAGCGUGAGUCAUCAGCUCAUGUUGACUACGUCUCUACCCUUUGUACACAUCGCUCGUCGCUCUUACCGAUUAAAUAAUCCAGUGAAAUAUUCAUAUCGUGGCGACGUGGGCCGUUCACUGCCCGCAACAUCGAGAGAAGUCCAUUGAACCUUAUCAUUUAGAAGAAGGAGAAGUCGUAACAAAGUUUCCGUAGAAGAACCUGUGGAAG